Molecule: non-coding RNA, 410 nt
Organism: Callorhinus ursinus (northern fur seal)
Lineage: Eukaryota; Metazoa; Chordata; Mammalia; Carnivora; Otariidae
Source: RefSeq, a predicted model, not a curated record
CCACAGGGAAUCAAGCUUGAAGAGCAGAAGCCGGGCCCCCAGAAGAACAAGGAUGACUAUAUCCCGUACCCCAGCAUUGAUGAGGUUGUGGAAAAGGGAGGCCCGUACCCCCUGAUUGUCCUGCCCCAGUUUGGAGGCUAUUGGAUCGAGGACCCGGAGAACGUGGGGACGCCGACCUCCCUUGGCAGCAGCAUCUGUGAGGAGGAGGAAGAGGGCAGCCCCAGCCCCAGCACGUUCGGCUAUAAGCUCGAGUGCAGGGGCGAAGCCAGGGCCUACCGCAGGCACUUCCUGGGGAAGGAUCACCUAAACUUUUACUGUACUGGCAGCAGUUUGGGGAACUUGCUCCUGUCCGUCAAGUGUGAGGAGGCGGAGGGCAUGGAGUACCUUCGGAUCAUUCUCAGGUGGGGCUG